CGGAGGGUGCAAGCGUUAUCCGGAUUUACUGGGUUUAAAGGGCGUGUAGGCGGGUCUUUAAGUCAGUGGUGAAAUCUCCGGGCUCAACCUGGAAACUGCCAUUGAUACUAUUGAUCUUGAAUUCUGUUGAGGUGGGCGGAAUAUGUCAUGUAGCGGUGAAAUGCAUAGAUAUGACAUAGAACACCAAUUGCGAAGGCAGCUCACUAAGCAGACAUUGACGCUGAGGCACGAAAGCGUGGGGAUCAAACAGGAUUAGAUACCCUGGUAGUCCACGCCCUAAACGAUGAUUACUCGACAUACGCGAUACACUGUGUGUGUCUGAGCGAAAGCAUUAAGUAAUCCACCUGGGAAGUACGACCGCAAGGUUG
This 368-nucleotide ribosomal RNA is filed under the name uncultured organism. RNAcentral describes it as "bacterial SSU rRNA". It matches the Rfam family "Bacterial small subunit ribosomal RNA", at positions 526 to 896 of the family's 1533-position model. The record is from RNAcentral.